GGUUAGGUGGCCGAGUAAUAAGGCGGUAAGCUGUAAAUUUACUGAUGGGGGUUCAACUCCCCCCCUCCCCA
RNAcentral lists this transfer RNA (71 nucleotides) under Trioceros melleri (Meller's chameleon). RNAcentral's name for it is "tRNA-Tyr". It matches the Rfam family "tRNA". From Rfam's summary of the family: Transfer RNA (tRNA) molecules are approximately 80 nucleotides in length. Their secondary structure includes four short double-helical elements and three loops (D, anti-codon, and T loops). Lineage: Eukaryota; Metazoa; Chordata; Lepidosauria; Squamata; Chamaeleonidae. The record is from RNAcentral.